UGGGGAAUUUUGCACAAUGGGGGAAACCCUGAUGCAGCGACGCCGCGUGAUUUAGAAGGCCUUCGGGUUGUAAAAAUCUUUUCUAUGGGAAGAAAAUGACAGUACCAUAGGAAUAAGGACCGGCUAAUUACGUGCCAGCAGCCGCGGUAAUACGUAAGGUCCGAGCGUUGUCCGGAAUCAUUGGGCGUAAAGGGUACGUAGGCGGGUAAGCAAGUUAGAAGUGAAAUCCUAUAGCUCAACUAUAGUAAGCUUUUAAACUGCUCAUCUUGAGGUAUGGAAGGGAAAGUGGAAUUCCUAGUGUAGCGGUGAAAUGCGCAGAUAUUAGGAGGAAUACCGGUGGCGAAGGCGACUUUCUGGCCAUAACCUGACGCUGAGGUACGAAAGCGUGGGUAGCAAACAGG
This 401-nucleotide ribosomal RNA is filed under the name bacterium. RNAcentral describes it as "partial 16S ribosomal RNA". It matches the Rfam family "Bacterial small subunit ribosomal RNA", at positions 355 to 776 of the family's 1533-position model. The record is from RNAcentral.